GCCGGGAAGAGCAAGAAACGAGUGUGUAAGAACAGUGGGAAUGAAAACAUCAAGGAAAGACUAGCUAGCACACUGGUUUCCUCCUGUGAAGGGGAAAACUUGGUGCGGUGUUUCCUGAUGCCUCUCAUUCCUGUUGUUCUUGCGUGCUCCUUCCUUUUCCUUUUGGCU
RNAcentral lists this microRNA precursor (168 nucleotides) under Dichanthelium oligosanthes. Its description in RNAcentral is "MIR2118 microRNA precursor family". It matches the Rfam family "MIR2118 microRNA precursor family". The record is from Rfam by way of RNAcentral. Lineage: Eukaryota; Viridiplantae; Streptophyta; Magnoliopsida; Poales; Poaceae.